GACGAACGCUGGCGGCGUGCUUAACACAUGCAAGUCGAACGGAAAGGCCCUGCUUUUGUGGGGUGCUCGAGUGGCGAACGGGUGAGUAACACGUGAGUAACCUGCCCUUGACUUUGGGAUAACUUCAGGAAACUGGGGCUAAUACCGGAUAGGAGCUCCUGCUGCAUGGUGGGGGUUGGAAAGUUUCGGCGGUUGGGGAUGGACUCGCGGCUUAUCAGCUUGUUGGUGGGGUAGUGGCUUACCAAGGCUUUGACGGGUAGCCGGCCUGAGAGGGUGACCGGCCACAUUGGGACUGAGAUACGGCCCAGACGCCUACGGGAGGCAGCAGUGGGGAAUAUUGCACAAUGGGCGGAAGCCUGAUACAGCGACGCCGCGUGCGGGAUGACGGCCUUCGGGUUAUAAACCGCUUUCGCCGGUGACGAAGCGUGAGUGACGGUAAUGGGUAAAGAAGCACCGGCUAACUACGUG
This 468-nucleotide ribosomal RNA is filed under the name uncultured bacterium. RNAcentral describes it as "partial 16S ribosomal RNA". It matches the Rfam family "Bacterial small subunit ribosomal RNA", at positions 28 to 507 of the family's 1533-position model. The record is from RNAcentral.